RNAcentral lists this ribosomal RNA (773 nucleotides) under uncultured bacterium. Its description in RNAcentral is "bacterial SSU rRNA". It matches the Rfam family "Bacterial small subunit ribosomal RNA", at positions 8 to 798 of the family's 1533-position model. The record is from RNAcentral.
AGAGUUUGAUCCUGGCUCAGGACGAACGCUGGCGGCGUGCUUAACACAUGCAAGUCGAACGGAAAGGCCCUUCGGGGUACUCGAGUGGCGAACGGGUGAGUAACACGUGGGUGAUCUGCCCUGCACUUUGGGAUAAGCCUGGGAAACUGGGUCUAAUACCGAAUAUGACCAUGCGCCUCCUGGUGUGUGGUGGAAAGCUUUUGCGGUGUGGGAUGGGCCCGCGGCCUAUCAGCUUGUUGGUGGGGUAAUGGCCUACCAAGGCGACGACGGGUAGCCGGCCUGAGAGGGUGACCGGCCACACUGGGACUGAGAUACGGCCCAGACUCCUACGGGAGGCAGCAGUGGGGAAUAUUGCACAAUGGGCGCAAGCCUGAUGCAGCGACGCCGCGUGAGGGAUGACGGCCUUCGGGUUGUAAACCUCUUUCAGCACAGACGAAGCGCAAGUGACGGUAUGUGCAGAAGAAGGACCGGCCGACUACGUGCCAGCAGCCGCGGUAAUACGUAGGGUCCGAGCGUUGUCCGGAAUUACUGGGCGUAAAGAGCUCGUAGGUGGUUUGUCGCGUUGUUCGUGAAAACUCACAGCUUAACUGUGGGCGUGCGGGCGAUACGGGCAGACCUGAGUACUGCAGGGGAGACUGGAAUUCCUGGUGUAGCGGUGGAAUGCGCAGAUAUCAGGAGGAACACCGGUGGCGAAGGCGGGUCUCUGGGCAGUAACUGACGCUGAGGAGCGAAAGCGUGGGGAGCGAACAGGAUUAGAUACCCUGGUAGUCCAA